This 244-nucleotide long non-coding RNA is filed under the name Arachis ipaensis. Its description in RNAcentral is "long non-coding RNA (AIPA_LNC000802)". Lineage: Eukaryota; Viridiplantae; Streptophyta; Magnoliopsida; Fabales; Fabaceae. The record is from RNAcentral.
GUGAGGGCGCUUCCUCGACAGGGAUCUGUUGCUGUUCCACUUAUGAUUCUUCAUCAUUGUUGUUGUUCCCUCCCUGAUGCUUCUUUUGCUGGUUACUUCUUCUUCUCUCUUCUCCGUAACUGUGGUAGCGGUGGAGAAGCUUCCGCUGAUGCUGCAUGGUUCUUCUGAGAGCUGAGACACUACCUCUGAGACUUCACCUUCUUUUUUGUUGAUGAUAAUGGGAUUGGGAAUGGGAUGUGGGUUC